RNAcentral lists this long non-coding RNA (250 nucleotides) under Lathyrus oleraceus (garden pea). Its description in RNAcentral is "Pisum sativum (pea) long non-coding RNA (PSAT_LNC005999)". The record is from RNAcentral. Lineage: Eukaryota; Viridiplantae; Streptophyta; Magnoliopsida; Fabales; Fabaceae.
AGGAUCCAUCCAACGCACGUGGUUUUUUUCUAAUUUCUGAAUUUUCCAUUUUUAUUUUUUAAUUUCAUCUCAUUUUCAAAAACUCAUAUCUCUUUUAUUAUAGGUCCAAAAAAUAUGGGACCAAUUUUAUUAUUUCUCUUUUAAUUUGUAGUUUCUAAAUAUGAUUUUUAAUAUUUUUUAUUUUAUCAUUUGCUAUUUUUUAAUAAUUUUCUCUUUUCUGGUUAUUUUUAAUUCAUUUUAAAUAGUUUUU